GAAUCCGGUCUGCUUCAAGGUGCAGAAGGGCGUAAGCCUUUCAGUUAAACGGGAAACAGGUAAGGAAGCAUUAACUCCAAAGCCUGUGCUGCCCCCGCAACGGUAAGCAAGUGUGGGUCCGUCGAAAUGCCACUGUGCGCAAGCAUGGGAAGGCGGCGAAUCAAAACUUGUGAGCCCGGAUACCGGCCUUGAGCGAGGUUCAGGA
This 205-nucleotide non-coding RNA is filed under the name Sideroxydans lithotrophicus. RNAcentral also lists the same sequence under 1 other name. Lineage: Bacteria; Pseudomonadati; Pseudomonadota; Betaproteobacteria; Nitrosomonadales; Gallionellaceae. The record is from RNAcentral.